Molecule: ribosomal RNA, 449 nt
Filed under: uncultured bacterium
Lineage: Bacteria
Description: partial 16S ribosomal RNA
Rfam family: Bacterial small subunit ribosomal RNA
Source: RNAcentral
AGCGAACGCUGGCGGCAGGCCUAACACAUGCAAGUCGAACGAAUUCUUCGGAGUUAGUGGCGGACGGGUGAGUAACACGUGGGAACGUGCCUUUAGGUUCGGAAUAACUCAGGGAAACUUGUGCUAAUACCGAAUGUGCCCUUCGGGGGAAAGAUUUAUCGCCUUUAGAGCGGCCCGCGUCUGAUUAGCUAGUUGGUGAGGUAAAGGCUCACCAAGGCGACGACCAGUAGCUGGUCUGAGAGGAUGAUCAGCCACAUUGGGACUGAGACACGGCCCAAACUCCUACGGGAGGCAGCAGUGGGGAAUCUUGCGCAAUAGGCGAAAGCCUGACGCAGCCAUGCCGCGUGAAUGAUGAAGGUCUUAGGAUUGUAAAAUUCUUUCACCGGGGACGAUAAUGACGGUACCCGGAGAAGAAGCCCCGGCUAACUUCGUGCCAGCCGCCGCGGUAA